This 200-nucleotide ribosomal RNA is filed under the name Salilota australis. Its description in RNAcentral is "partial 16S ribosomal RNA". The record is from RNAcentral. Lineage: Eukaryota; Metazoa; Chordata; Actinopteri; Gadiformes; Moridae.
UUUUAAAUGGAGACCAGUAUGAAUGGCAUCACGAGGGCUUAUCUGUCUCCCUUCUUUAGUCAAUGAAAUUGACUUCCCCGUGCAGAGGCGGGGAUAAAUAUAUAAGACGAGAAGACCCUGUGGAGCUUUAGACCUAAAAUAAAUUAUAUUCAAUAUUCUAUAAUAACAGUAAAAAUUUAGUAAAAAAUUAUUGAAGUGUC